Molecule: ribosomal RNA, 400 nt
Filed under: uncultured bacterium
Lineage: Bacteria
Description: bacterial SSU rRNA
Rfam family: Bacterial small subunit ribosomal RNA
Source: RNAcentral
CUAAGAAUCUUCCGCAAUGGGCGAAAGCCUGACGGAGCGAUGCCGCGUGAUCGAUGAAGGUCGAGAGAUUGUAAAGAUCUUUUCCACAUGAGGAAUAAUACUAGGAGGGAAUGCCUGGUAGAUGACGUUAGUGUGGGAAUAAGCCCCGGCUAAUUACGUGCCAGCAGCCGCGGUAACACGUAAGGGGCGAGCGUUGUUCGGAAUUAUUGGGCGUAAAGGGCACGCAGGCGGCCUAACAAGUCUGAUGUGAAAUCUCCGGGCUCAACUCGGAAUCCGCGUUGGAAACUGUUAAGCUAGAGUAUUAGAGGGGGAGUCGGAAUUCCUAGUGUAGGGGUGAAAUCUGUUGAUAUUAGGAAGAACACCGGUGGCGAAGGCGGACUCCUGGCUAGAUACUGACGCU